RNAcentral lists this small RNA (634 nucleotides) under Histoplasma ohiense. RNAcentral's name for it is "hypothetical lncRNA". Lineage: Eukaryota; Fungi; Ascomycota; Eurotiomycetes; Onygenales; Ajellomycetaceae. The record is from RNAcentral.
AUCCCUCACUGCUAAGCUAUCCCUCGCUGCUAAGCUAUCACUGCCAAUCUCUCGCUGCUAAUCUAUCGCUGCCAACCUAUCUACCGCGGCAAAUCUAUCUAUCGCUGCCAAUUUAUCUACCACUGCCAAUCUAUCUAUCACUUCUAAUCUAUCGCUGCUAAUCUAUUGCUGCUAAUCUAUUGCUGCUGCCAAUCUAUCUAUCACUGCUAAUCUAUUGCUGCUAAUCUAUCACUGCUAAUCUAUCACUGCUAAUCUAUCACUGCUAAUCUAUCGCUGCUAAUCUAUCGCUCCUAAUCUAUCGCUGCCAAUCUAUCUACCGCGGCGAAUCUAUCUAUUGCUGCCAACCAACCUACCACUGCCAAUCUAUCUAUCGCUGCCAAUCUAUCGCUGCCAAUCUAUCACUGCCAAUCUAUCUACUGCAGUGAAUCUAUCUAUCACUAUCAUUACUAGUUCAAAAUAGAACUAGAGCAUAAAUACACUAAACUUCUUUUGAUAGGUAAUGAUUUUUGGUAACACUCAUAGCAUUAUAUCAUCUAUAUAGGGUAAAUCAUGGUCCCAUUUGGUCCCAUUUUAACAAAAUGGGAUCAAAUGAGAUCAGAAUCAGUAAUUUAUAAGAAGAACAUGACCUGGGACU